Molecule: ribosomal RNA, 793 nt
Filed under: uncultured bacterium
Lineage: Bacteria
Description: bacterial SSU rRNA
Rfam family: Bacterial small subunit ribosomal RNA
Source: RNAcentral
AGAGUUUGAUCCUGGCUCAGAUUGAACGUUGGCGGCAUGCCUUACACAUGCAAGUCGAACGGCAGCGCGGGGCAACCUGGCGGCGAGUGGCGAACGGGUGAGUAAUAUAUCGGAACGUACCCUGGAGUGGGGGAUAACGUAGCGAAAGUUACGCUAAUACCGCAUACGAUCUAAGGAUGAAAGUGGGGGAUUCGCAAGAACCUCAUGCUCCUGGAGCGGCCGAUAUCUGAUUAGCUAGUUGGUGGGGUAAAGGCCUACCAAGGCAUCGAUCAGUAGCUGGUCUGAGAGGACGACCAGCCACACUGGAACUGAGACACGGUCCAGACUCCUACGGGAGGCAGCAGUGGGGAAUUUUGGACAAUGGGCGAAAGCCUGAUCCAGCAAUGCCGCGUGAGUGAAGAAGGCCUUCGGGUUGUAAAGCUCUUUUGUCAGGGAAGAAACGGUGAGAGCUAAUAUCUCUUGCUAAUGACGGUACCUGAAGAAUAAGCACCGGCUAACUACGUGCCAGCAGCCGCGGUAAUACGUAGGGUGCAAGCGUUAAUCGGAAUUACUGGGCGUAAAGCGUGCGCAGGCGGUUUUGUAAGUCUGUCGUGAAAUCCCCGGGCUCAACCUGGGAAUUGCGAUGGAGACUGCAAGGCUAGAAUCUGGCAGAGGGGGGUAGAAUUCCACGUGUAGCAGUGAAAUGCGUAGAUAUGCGGAGGAACACCGAUGGCGAAGGCAAUCCCCUGGACCUGUACUGACGCUCAUGCACGAAAGCGUGGGGAGCAAACAGGAUUAGAUACCCUGGUAGUCC